RNAcentral lists this small RNA (460 nucleotides) under Pongo abelii (Sumatran orangutan). RNAcentral's name for it is "processed transcript". Lineage: Eukaryota; Metazoa; Chordata; Mammalia; Primates; Hominidae. The record is from RNAcentral.
UCUGAUAACUUCUCAAAUAUUUCAGCAUAGGCUUCUGUGCAUGUAGAUAGAUAUAGUGAAAUAAUGACAUAAGAUGGAAAAAUCUCUUCCGUUUGUCUUGGUGUUUGGUAGUGUGCCAGUAUUUGAAAAAUCCCAAUGUAUCUGAUUCACUGCUGCUGCAGAAUAUUUUCCAAGCUCUGAAUGUAUAUUACAAUUAUUCGGGCCAGGUGAAAUGCCUGAAUAUUUCAGAGACAGCAACUAGCAGUCUGGGAACACUGGGUUGGAGCUAUCAGGCCUGCACAGAAGUAGUCAUGCCCUUUUGUACUAAUGGUGUCGAUGACAUGUUUGAACCUCACUCAUGGAACUUAAAGGAACUUUCUGAUGACUGUUUUCAACAGUGGGGUGUGAGACCAAGGCCCUCCUGGAUCACUACUAUGUAUGGAGGCAAAAACAUCAGCUCACACGCAAACAUUGUUUUCAG